AUAAAUUAAAACUUUCAACAACGGAUCUCUUGGCUCUGGCAUCGAUGAAGAACGCAGCGAAAUGCGAUAAGUAAUGUGAAUUGCAGAAUUCAGUGAAUCAUCGAAUCUUUGAACGCACAUUGCGCCCGCCAGUAUUCUGGCGGGCAUGCCUGUUCGA
RNAcentral lists this ribosomal RNA (157 nucleotides) under Fusarium ambrosium. Its description in RNAcentral is "5.8S ribosomal RNA". It matches the Rfam family "5.8S ribosomal RNA". Rfam says of the family: 5.8S ribosomal RNA (5.8S rRNA) is a component of the large subunit of the eukaryotic ribosome. Lineage: Eukaryota; Fungi; Ascomycota; Sordariomycetes; Hypocreales; Nectriaceae. The record is from RNAcentral. RNAcentral also lists the same sequence under 32 other names.